GCGAGGAUUGCGGCUCCACGGACUCUGGUAUGCAAAUAUGUAUGAGGGGCCGUUUCGGACAAAAGUCUGUCAAAAACGGCGAGUGAAGGGUCACGUUUCCGCGCGCAGGGAAUCAGGUUGCACGAUAGGGUGCCGUUCCGGACAAAAGUCUGUCAAAUACGGCGAGUGAAGGGUCACUUUUCCGCGCGCAGGGAAUCAGGUUUCUGCGCGCAGGGAAUCAGGUUUCUGCGCGCAGGGAAUCAGGUUUCUGCGCGCAGGGAAUCAGGUUUCUGCGCGCAGGGAAUCACGUUUCUGCGCGCAGGGAAUCACGUUUCUGCGCGCAGGGAAUCACGUUUCUGCGCGCAGGGAAUCAGCAGGCUAUGCUGCUAGAGGGGAGGGGUUACUUUUGUCGUCACACAAAUGUAUUUUGCCAGAGGAGGCGAUAAAAAACUAAGGAGCUAGACAUGUCUUCACAUUCGAAUAGUAAUGUAGCCCGGGGAAUCGCCGAAGAAAUAAUUAACAACCCGGAAAUCCUUCAACGUCUGGAAAGUGCCCUGAAUGGUAAAAACAAUCGUAUGCCUACUACAAGACAGGAGACAUCAACUAUUGAUGAAGAAGUUCGUCAAUUGUUUCAAGGGCGGAAUGUGGUCGCUGAUCGUCCCGCUCAAAAUAAUUCCCCUGCAUUCAAUAUGCAAAGAAACUUUAUCAGAGCCGGAGCAGUUCCAGGGAUUUUAAAUAGAAGGGCCAGAAAGAGACCCAGAAAUGUUUGUGGCCCUUUCCACAAAGAUGUUUGUCUACUAACGGGUCCCAAUGACACAGACGUCCCGAAAGGCAAAAUACGCUUAUACCUGGCAGAGCAAGGGCAUCUGGUUUUAGGUGUGAGAUUUAUGAAGGAGUGGGAGCCAUAUGAGGUGCAAAACCACUUGCACACAGUCUUUGAAAGAAACCUGACAGAAAACAUUCAAUUUGAAAUAAUGGUGACACUCCACAACAAAUUAAUAAAGCCAAGUCUGGAGCAAGACCAAAAGAUGAAUGGACUGUUACUAAAUAAAAUUUUCAAGGACAAAACUGUGUACCUUCGUCCAUCUUUACAACUGCUGGUCGUUCCUGCAAAUGCAAAGAAGAACAGAGGUACUCUGUCAAAUAAUGAUGAUGAUGAUAUUGAAAUAGAUUUGACUGAUUCCAGUCCACCAAUGAACAGCCUGAAUGUAACAGUUCUUCAGGUCAUUGAGGAUGCUCCUUCAGAACUCAUAGAUGCUCCGUAUUCGACAGCAGGUUCAGAUGGGCCUCUUAUCAUAACAGAAGAAGAAAAUGCCACAGUUUCCAGGGUUCUUGAUUGUCCAAGUGAAUGGCAUUAUGCUGCUUUAUUUGUUGAUGAAGAGCUCAGCGAAAGCUUUGAAGAUCCAAUACCCCUUUCCACUGGUAUUGAAACAUCCCACCAUGAACGAGACAUUGGGGAUAUUCUCUGUGAGCUGGCCUCCCAGAUUGAUACAGAAAAUGUUUCCCUGUUUAAUAUCAGCCGGAAUCACCUAUGGGAAGGAGCGAAACGAGGCUUUAAAAAAAAAAACUUUCUUACCUUGCAAAAGGCUUUCGGUGAAAUUUAUGGACGAUAUAGGAGUGAGCGAAGGAGCCGUCGACCUCGGAGGACCAAGGAGAGAAUUUUUAACCAUGCUAAUGGAGUCCUUGCACCAAGGAAGCCUCUUUGUGGGACCAGACCAUGCCAAGUUCCUAAACUACAUUAGUGGAUGUAAUGAAUUUAUGCUUUUUUAAUUCUUUAUCAUUACGUUUUCAGUCUGUCUAAAUCUAACAUUCUUUAUUUCAGUGAUGGUCUCGGAUGACUAUUUUUAUGCGGGUAUGACUAUUGCAACAUCACUGGUUCAUGGAGGACCUGGCCCACAGUUCUUAUCACCAGUACUUUUUGAGGCGCUUUCAAGUACACCCGAGUCCACAUUUGUGGCAGUGCAAGAUAUCCCUGAUAUGGACAUAAGGAACUAUCUGGAGAAGCUUCUAACUUACCAGGAAGAACAUUCAAACACAGCAAACUUAUUUGAACCAAUCCAAACUCUGAUGCAGCUGGCUGGAACACACAAAGUUAUCCGUAAUGCUGAUGAUUAUCGCAAGAUUGCUGAAGAAACUGCACAUUGGUACAUUUUUGGAAGAACACGGGCAGCAUUUGAGAGAUUAAAGGAAGGGCUGAAAACUCUAGGUGUACUGGAUGCUAUGACCAAGUAUCCCAAUGCAUUCAAGCAUGUCAUGUGCUACACAGAAGACACCCUCACAGCCAAGACAUUUGAUAUCUUCCGCCCUGUUCUACACCCAUUGGGCUCCAAUAAAAGGGGAACAGAAAAUCUUGUAUUGUCUCACUGGAAAGACUUUAUACAAGAACUACAAGAUGAGCCAUCAGAUGUCACAUUGAAGUCACUACUAUUCUUUAUUACUGGCUGCAAGACCGUACCACCACUGGGAUUCAGACCAGAACCCACUGUAGAUUUUUUACAUGAUGCUGAGGACAAUGGAGAGAAAUCAAGAUUUCCAAAGGCAAAUACAUGCAACUGUACGCUGUUUUUGCCAACUGUACAUGUAGUUUAUGAAGAAUUCACUGAAGCCAUGAGAUAUGCUGUUCUAAAUUGUCAGGGCUUUGGCUUUGCAUAGUCAACUAUUGAUCUUCUGGUGUGCUGGAUGGUAGGGAUGCUCCAGAUAAAACCAAAGAAAGGAAAAAAAAAAAAAAAUGAGAAAAAAAAUACAGUAUACUUGGGAUUUCUUGUUUUUCCUGGUCCUGGGGAGAUCUGUGUGUUCUGUUUUUUUCCCCCCAACUCAAUGAUUUAAUUGCACCCUUCAUUUAACUAAUACUUUACCUAAUCUGAGCUUUUUCUUUUCUUUGGAGCUCUUAAAGUUAAUUUGAAGUUACAGGUAUAGAAAAGAAUUGUGAAACACUGCUUUAACCAAUUCAUCAGUUUCAAACAACAAACACUAAAUGGGCAACUGAUUUGAUCAUUUAUUAUUUCCAUGGCAAAUGCAAAUUUAUUUCUAUUAAAUAUUAUUUGUAUUAAAUA
Molecule: RNA transcript, 3032 nt
Organism: Acipenser ruthenus (sterlet)
Lineage: Eukaryota; Metazoa; Chordata; Actinopteri; Acipenseriformes; Acipenseridae
Gene name: G2/M phase-specific E3 ubiquitin-protein ligase-like
Exons: 9
Source: RefSeq, a predicted model, not a curated record